GGUAGACACGCUGCUCUUAGGAAGCAGUGCUCAAGCAUCUCGGUUCGAAUCCGAGUGGCGGCA
Molecule: transfer RNA, 63 nt
Filed under: Henrardia persica
Lineage: Eukaryota; Viridiplantae; Streptophyta; Magnoliopsida; Poales; Poaceae
Description: partial tRNA-Leu
Rfam family: tRNA
About the family: Transfer RNA (tRNA) molecules are approximately 80 nucleotides in length. Their secondary structure includes four short double-helical elements and three loops (D, anti-codon, and T loops). Further hydrogen bonds mediate the characteristic L-shaped molecular structure. tRNAs have two regions of fundamental functional importance: the anti-codon, which is responsible for specific mRNA codon recognition, and the 3' end, to which the tRNAs corresponding amino acid is attached (by aminoacyl-tRNA synthetases). tRNAs cope with the degeneracy of the genetic code in two manners: having more than one tRNA (with a specific anti-codon) for a particular amino acid; and 'wobble' base-pairing, i.e. permitting non-standard base-pairing at the 3rd anti-codon position.
Source: RNAcentral